CGAUACAAUACUUGAGCUCUACGUUGAUUUCCAUUGGCCAUUUGUAGAAGCCCAAGUGUAGAUUACACUGGGAGUGGGAAAGUUUUGUUGGUACUAAUAAAGUUGUGGAAUUUGAGAUGUUUAGUCAAGGGAGUUAUAAUCUGCAAUCCGGACAAGGUCCUCAGACACCUAGGCCACCUCCAUUUUUACAGCAUCCACCGGCUCUGCUUCCUUUACCUCAGAAUUUCCAACAAGGUCCACUGCUGCCUUUACCUCAAGUUCUACCUCGCCCUGGUCAGCCUGGCCUGCCUACAUAUCAGCAAGGUCCUCUGGCCCCACAUCUUGCAGUUCGGCAGGUUCAACCUGGGUUGCCUAACACGGGUCAGCCUUAUUUUCCUCCACCGCCUGCACUUCCAUGAACUGCAGCCCGGUUGCCACAUGUAUACACAACUGCACCACCAAAUCCGCAAGGAUCGCAGCAUUCUUCUUAUUUAGCGCCUGGACUCCCUCCUCCUCCUCCUGCUGCUGCUGCUGGUUCACAUAAUCUGGAAAUGUUACAGGUCACAUUACCUCCUAGAAGUUUACCUCCUACACCNNNNNACGUUAUAUAGAGCUCCAAUUCAUCAGUUGCCUCAGCAGCCUGGUGGCAUGCAAGGUCUACAGCAAAUUCCACCACCCCCACCUCCCCCUCCUACUUUUUCAACUUCUUCCCUAUCUGGGAAUAUUUUAGAGGCAACUGUUGGAAACUCUCAAAUGUCUUCCAUGGUUCCCCCAUCAACGUCACCUCCUCCACCACUGCCAUCUUCUUCUCCACC
Molecule: unclassified non-coding RNA, 794 nt
Filed under: Hevea brasiliensis (rubber tree)
Lineage: Eukaryota; Viridiplantae; Streptophyta; Magnoliopsida; Malpighiales; Euphorbiaceae
Source: RNAcentral